Long non-coding RNA from Bombus pascuorum, 1834 nucleotides. RefSeq lists it as uncharacterized. The record is from RefSeq and is a predicted model, not a curated record. The transcript has 3 exons. Lineage: Eukaryota; Metazoa; Arthropoda; Insecta; Hymenoptera; Apidae.
UUGUUGUCCUUUUAUAUUAUACAAACAGAUAAUGUUGAAGAAUUUAUUUCUUCGCAGAAAGACUAUUGGGCUCUUAAAUUUUCUUUAUUCUAAUCGCUUAAUAAUGUUCAACGAGUUAUUAUUCUGUUUACGUUUACCUUUGAAUCUCGAGAUUUAUCUCAUUCUCCAUACUAUGUAAUUUUAAGAUACAAUUCAUUAAAAUUCCUGGCCUAUGAAGGUGCAUUCGAUAAGUGUUGCAUGUAAAGCAACCGAUUGUUGCAGAAUAAAAAACAAUUUCCGCAUAAAGCUACCAGGAAAAUCCUUGACAAUCAUCGAGUACAAAGUAUUCUAUACCGUUUACGGAAAAUAUAAUGGCUGGUUUAGUAAAGGAAAGCCGACGUGGAAAUUAUUAUCCCAUUCAAAGGAAACGUUAAUUAGUAUACCUGCUCUAAGAGCGAGACGAACAGUUACAGACAAGUACUCAGGGUAUAAAGAUCAAUUGAAGACAAAGCGAUUUUUUUAACACUAUGCACUUUGCAUCAUCUUCCGCGUCUAUAUGUAAAAACGACGUAUGCAUGCAUACGCGUACGUCUCGUGUGGGAAGCGAGCCAAAGUGAAGCGAAGCAACAGGCUGCUAUUCCUGCAGUGGGAAGUUGGUCGAACGUGGAAUAGAAUGAAAAAGAAAAAACCGUGAUAAAGAGUGUCACGUUUUUUACUUCUUACAAUGCUCUUCUCGCCACAUGGUUGGGCGCCACCCAUUUCUUGGCACAUGUGCAACAUACUUCGAAGCCCCUGCCUUUCGCUUCCCACGUCCUGAAGGUUUCUGAGAAAGAAAAGAGUGCGAUCCACCUCGGUACUAACCUCGAAGGAGAAACCACCGACCGGUGGAGUUUACACAAUUUUCAUGUAAUAACUUCCCAGUGUCUAUUCCUAUCAUCGAUACAUUUCAUAAAUAUUACGCGAUCAAAGCAGGAACCUCAAAGGAUUAAGUAUUCGAUUACUUAAUCUGUCAAUUAAUCGAUUUGUUAGAAACUCUGUUUCACCUCUUCAGCAUAUUCGUUUAUGCGGAGCGAUAAAAUUAUUUAUCUUACUUGUUACCCUAAUUUCGGUCACGUAUUCGUGUCAUUGUUAUCGUGAACAAUCCACAGAAGAUAAUGAUAUUUUGCAGAAGUACCGAACGUACGUGCUCGGAACAAAAAAGGGUACCAUAAUCGAGUCGAAGUGUCAUGAAGGCGUAACCGCACCAGGUCCCCGAACAAAAUGACGUGCGGAUAAUUACUGCAACGAAAUAAAGCGAGUAUUUUUGAAUACGAAGGAAGUACGUGCUGCAUUUUCGGCGCUGGAACAGGUUUCGUAUACAUAUGUACGUCGACCUGAAACGGAAGCGACAACUCGCGAUGGAUACGGCCCUGUAACGGAAUUUCUUGCUUGUUGGGAACCAAGCGACUGCCGCUAGCUCACCUUAGGCCCUGUUCACACGGUGACGGAUGGUAAUUUCUCGGAGCGUUGGGUGCUCUCAGUAUCAUUAUCAACCCUUGCUAGUUAAGUGGAUGCAAAUAAACGUUUUAGUUGGAAAUAUAUGUUUCGUUUGUUAAUUGCUCGGUUGAUAAUUAAAUCACGUUCGCUAGGCGAACCGACAUACAGGACAAAGAACAUGCACAAGGAAGAUCUUGAUACUUGAUACUUGAUACUUGAUACCCACCAGGAACGAUCGGAUAAUCUUGUACGUUGAGGAAUGCACGAUGAAGAAUUUUACCUGUGUCCCAGCUUAGCCUGGAAAAUCUAGUCGAGCCAUGUGAGAAAACUGUCUAGUUCGUUAACAUUGUUGUUGAAUGCGUUCAUUCCCUUUGGCAUU